Molecule: long non-coding RNA, 3623 nt
Organism: Esox lucius (northern pike)
Lineage: Eukaryota; Metazoa; Chordata; Actinopteri; Esociformes; Esocidae
Exons: 3
Source: RefSeq, a predicted model, not a curated record
ACACUGCCAUCAUACACUGGUUGAUUUUAAACCUGGAGUAGUUAUUACUACUAGGAUAUCAUCUGUGAAUGAUUUGGAGGCAAAUAGUCAGGAGGGUGUAGAGCAGUCAGAAACUGCCAUUCCUUCAAAUACUCAUUAUCAUAUUGAGGACUUGCAGAAGGAUAUAGAGCAAAGAUUUGCAGCUGCUUUGCUUAAGUUGGAGCAUUUGGUCCAUGUGCCAAGCUCAGCUGUUGAUGUUUUCUUAGGGGAACUCCAUCAUUUGAUUGGUUCUGCACCUGUUUCGUUAUCUUGUGACAUUGUUAGUGAAAUAUUUAAUCAGCGAAACAUCCCUGUCGAUUAACUUAUAAUUAGAGAAAAUGUUAAUGCAAUUUGUUCUGGUAAUCCUGUGCAAAGGUCCAUACAAAAAGUUGGCCCUCUAAGUACUGCAUAUCUGCGUAAGCAGUAUUACAAGGAGAACUUCCGUGUUGUAGAGCCUGUUGAAUACAUUCUUGAUGCAAAAAACAACCGCAGUUUCAAAUAUGUCCCAAUAUUGAAGUCCUUAAAGCAGCUGUUAAGUAGAGGGGAUAUCAUUGAUAAAAUUGUUGAGGGCCAUCAAAGACAGGAGGGCACACAUUCUGAUGUGUCAUAUAAGUACAGGACCUCAAGAGAUGGUUCCCUAUUUAAGGAAAAUGGUUUCUUCUCUGGAAAAAAGCCGAGAAUCAUCCUAUUUGUAUGUGGAUGACAUUGAAACUUGUAACCCCCUUGGCACGUCGUGGAAAAAACACAAGCUCUGUGCGGUAUAUUGGGUGUUGGCUAACUUCCCUACGGGGUCUCAUUCCUCGUUAUCUAUCUACUUGUCAGUUUUGUGCAAAUCCGAUGAUGUUAAAACCUAUAGUUAUAAUAAGGUCUUUGAACCUCUUGUACAAGAUCUGCAAACUCUGCAGGAGCUGGGUGUUUAUGUCUCGCUGUUAGGUGAGUCAGUUAAAGGUACUGUAUUCAGAGUAGUGGCUGACAACCUGGGAGCACACAGCGUUGCAGGAUUUUUGGAGAGUUUCUCAGUGGAACACUUGCAGAUUUUGCACAGGAAAAACUACUGAUUUUCAGCUACAUUCUGUUGCAUCUGGUGUGUUCAGUCUGAGAACAAAGGAGCUUCAUCAAGCCCAUGUCAACCAAGCCCAAGAUACAGGUAAACAUUGUUGUGGGGUCCAAAAAGAAUGCAUCUUCACAAAACAACUGUCUCAUUUUCAUGCCAUUUUUGGCUAUCCACCUGAUCUUGCCCACAAUGUUUUUGAGGGUAUAAUCCCAGUCGAACUAGCUCAAUGCUUAGCGGUGCUCAUUUCCAGAAAGCUUUUCACAUUAGGUGACCUGAACAAUGCAAGUUUCCCUGCAAAUGGGUUGACAAGACUAACAAACCUCAUGUAGUGUCACAAAGUUUCUCCAGCAGAAAAACAAUGGGGGGAAAUGCUCAUGAAAACUGGAGCCUGCUCCGGUUUUUACCUUUUUUGGUUGGAUCACUUGUACCCGAAGAUGAGCCUGCGUGGCUUGUUCUCAUGGACCUGAAGGACAUCACAGAGCUUGUUGUUGCCCCUGUGCUUAGUGAUGACUCGCUUGUGUUUUUAGAAGGUAAAAUCAUAGAGCACCGGCAGAGGUACAAAGAGUUACCAAAACACCAUUAUUUGGAACACUACCCCCAGAUCAUUAGGCUGUUUGGUCCAGUUGUCAGCCAGUUGUCAGCCAGUGAGGCUAAGCAUAGAUUUUUCAAGCAGGUUAUCAGACACACAAGCUGCUUCAAAAAUGUGCCCCUAUCAUUAGCCGUGAAGCAUCAGAUGAUGAUUGCUUCCCGUCUGAGCAAGCCUGACCUUGAGGUCUCAGCUGUACCAACCACUGAGCUCUACCAGUAGACUUACUCAAAGAGUUGGCCAUUCUUGACAGUUUGGUGCAGGAAAUUGUGCAGUAUAAAGUCUGUCACUGAUAAGGAGAUGGAACAGGUAGCACAGAGUCUCAUCAAGACACAUCCAUGUUUAACUGAGAAGGGGUCCUCUUCUGGAUGUGGUGGAUGGAAGACCAGUUUAAAAUAUAAACUAUCAAACUACCGCACACAACUGAGAACUAGGCAGCCCAGAAGUAACAGUGAAGUCGUUAAAAAAACAAGCCUGCAGGGAGACUCAGUGCAGCCUUUGGUGUCAAAAAGGCAAAGAGAUCAGAGGUGAAUUUUUGCCCAACAUAUCAGAAACUGAGGUCUGGAGGUCAUGUAGAAAGCACGGCUCUUGGAUGUAAAGAAGAGAGACAACAGAGAGGUUGUGAAACUCAAGAUGGAAAAUACUUUUGCACACAGAAGACAUUAAGUUGUUCGUGAUGCACCAAUGGUGGAGGAUUUCAUGGCAAGGUGGCCUGCUCUGUUCGACGUCAGUGAGAUCAACACUGAAUUCAAGAGAAUCAACACAGUCCCACUUCAAUCCGAGUUUCUGUCUCAGCUUGACCUCCACUCUGACAACCUGAUGAAGCUGUUCAAAAAGAGAGGAGGACAGCUAGGGCAAAGGCUGAAAACAGUCAUUACACAAGUGGCUGAUCUAAGUAGUUCCUAGCGGCCCCCGGGCCAGAAAACCUAGAUAAUUUAAGAAUUAUGACUGUGUUAUUGAAAACAUUAAGACUGGGGGAAGGUUAUGUAAAAUUGGCAAGAAUGGCAUACAAAUUGUACAGAAAGCAAGGGAGGCCCUACGUCUAUUGACUUUUCCUCUUUCUCCUACUAAAUUCAUCUUUUUGUCUCAGUUUUAACCUUUCCUCUUUAUUUAUUUUCUGAUCUUCAAAUUUGUGUCUUUCUUUGUCUUUACUGUCAAACUCUUUCCUACGUGAUUUGGAGCGGACAACAAGGCUAGAACCAUUGUGGGAACCCUGUUGUAAUAUUCUUAGAGAAAUAUGUACCCAUAUGACAGUGUACACCAGUAGUUGACUUCAAAAUGUAGCAAAAGUGCUAAACCAAGAUGCUAAUAAAAAAAAUUCAGUGUGAUGAUAUAGAUGCUGAACGGGAGUGUAUCAUCAAGCGAGUCUAUCUACAUGGGUGAAGAUCCAGAAAAUCUUAUGCAGCAAUAUGUGGGCACGGAUGAAGACGCCAUCAACGAGGCCAUUGAAGACACCACUGUUGGGAUUGAUGUUCUUAAAGAACAUGCUUCAAAUGAGGAACCAGAGGACAUCGGAAUUGUCCUUGAAGGCAAGAUCUUGAUAAUGUAGCAUUAGCUGUUGCUAUGCUGUUUGGACUAAUGUUUGCACUGAACUUGAGCUACCCUGCUGAGCUUCGUUAUAUGUUUGAGGUAAUCCAAAAGAUUUUAAUUGAACUUGAUGGAGGGAAACUUUCCAACAAAGCACUCACUCUAAAAAACUGGCUCUUCCAGUGAACGGGUCAGAGAGACUGCGCCGUCAGCCUAACGACGUAGUUGUCCCUAAAGGCAUCGUUGGUAUGGCUAUACCGUUUGGACUAGUGUUGUUUGUUUUGAAUUAAAUGGACAGAAUUUGCAUGGAUCUGCAUGGAAAUAACCUUUUGCAAACCAAGCAAAAGUUUGCUCUCUGAAAAAAGACUCUUUUAGUAAAGACUGAGCUGUCAGCGAUAAAACAGGCAUCUUUGGUACUGCUAUACCAGAUGGACCACU